CUUCCCUGCCAUUGAGCAUCUUCCUGCACCGUCGAAGAUUAUUCUCCAGGUCCAACAUGCCGAUGUGCAUCCAAUGGUGUUAUUGACCCACCUCAUAAACAUCAACUUAUAUCAAAAGGAGGGUUUCACAUUUGAAAAAAUGGUGGGCUACCUUCUGUGCAGACUGCCAUCACAUGUCCAUGCCAGCUACAACAUCGCUUACCCAGCCAGAUGUUUAUAUGUGCUCUCGUCGAUCUUGUUCAUGCACUAGCGCUACAAUUGGAUGAGAACAAUUCAAUGUUAUAUCAAUCAAUGGUCAUUUGCUCUCCCUGCUCAUUUCAUCUAUGUUAAUGUUCAGGUACACAUUGUUUGUCCAUCUAUGUUAAUGUCCAUCUACAUUUGUUUCCUUCGGUGGAUCUCCAGCUCAGUUUCCCCUUUCCAGUCAGCGCCGCCUCUAGGGUUUCACCUUCUCACCCUCCUGAUGUCUUGUCUGGCUCUGUCCGAUCUACGUGCUGGUUGGGACAAACAGACCGUGUGCGUCCGUGUGUCUCGCCUAUGGCAUUACCGUGGUGGUUUAGAGAAUGGACCUGUCAAGCUUCUGCACAUGAUCCUCAUCGACGCUCAUGGUAACCAUGGCUAUGCAGUUGUUCCGACAGAUUUUCUUGUCACUUAUAUUGAUAUGCUGCAUGAAGGCGUGGUGUAUGAGUUCAGUCGUUUCAGCGUGAUGUCUUCAUCAUGAACCCGGUCGAUGCGUCGUUGAUGAUCCAAUUUACACAAUUUACAAUUGUGAAGAAUUUUUUCGAUCUGAACGACGUAUUUCCGGAGUGGGCAUUCAACCUGACCCCACUAAAUGAAUUACCCCUUGCAAAUGAUACUCCCCAAGCCUACAUAGAUGUUAUCUGGGUUAUCACGGCGAUUUCUCCUGUGAAAGCCACUCGGGUGCCCAAUACUCUUAGACAAGUAUUCAGGCGCCGUCUGAUCCUCUCUGACAAUAAUGGCCACGAACUUGGAAUAACCCUUUGGGGUGAGAGUGCUAUUCGAUUUAAUGGAGAGAGUGUGCAUUUCAUGGGUCAAACAGACCCGGCUAUCGUUAUCUUUGUCGGCACCACCGUUUGUAUGUAUGAAGGGUCCAAGGAAUUAUCUGGUGGAUGUGCUUGCAAAUGAUAUGUUAACCAUGAUAUACCAGAGAUAAACAUAUUUAGGAGCAGGCUCCCAGUCAUCUUCCCUGCCAUUGAGCAUCUUCCUGCACCGUCGAAGAUUAUUCUCCAGGUCCAACAUGCCGAUGUGCAUCCAAUGGUGUUAUUGACCCACCUCAUAAACAUCAACUUAUAUCAAAAGGAGGGUUUCACAUUUGAAAAAAUGGUGGGCUACCUUCUGUGCAGACUGCCAUCACAUGUCCAUGCCAGCUACAACAUCGCUUACCCAGCCAGAUGUUUAUAUGUGCUCUCGUCGAUCUUGUUCAUGCACUAGCGCUACAAUUGGAUGAGAACAAUUCAAUGUUAUAUCAAUCAAUGGUCAUUUGCUCUCCCUGCUCAUUUCAUCUAUGUUAAUGUUCAGGUACACAUUGUUUGUCCUUGCGAAAGAUCGAAGUGGAGAGGCUGAAUUUGAAUUGUUUGGCACAAAGGCUCAACAAAUCAUCGAUCGAUCUGCUAGCCAGGUCCUUCGCAACAGCACUCACAUGGCCCUGCUAUUCCCAAUGUUCAUGUAGUGGCCUCAAUGCUAAGGAAAACCCCGCCUGAACUCAGUGGUCUCCUUUCCAUGAGAUGUAAGUUUGUUGUUCGUGCAUCGCCUGAAAGUUUCUUCGGAAGGUGGCCGAUGUUCCAUGUCGAUGCUAUUGAGUCCUUUGAGCCCGUCAAAUCGAACCUCUCUAUGAUAGAUUUGCUUACGCCAUCAUGAAGUGAUGCACGCAAGGAACUUCUUAUGAGAUCAGUGUGGAUGUUCCCUAGAGUUGAUUUUCGGUCUCCUGAGUGAUCUCUAGAUCUUUUGAUAAUGAACCUUUUUAUUAGUAGGAUUGUAAAUAUAUCGGUUCUGUAAACAGUAUUGUAUUAACUAUGACACUAUGGUCUUUUACCUUGGGACUAGGCUGCUGUUGAAAACAUGGUUAAAUAUAAUGUUCAUGUGCGUUUCCUUUCACUU
Triticum aestivum (bread wheat) is the source of this 2115-nucleotide long non-coding RNA. RefSeq lists it as uncharacterized. The record is from RefSeq and is a predicted model, not a curated record. The transcript has 10 exons. Lineage: Eukaryota; Viridiplantae; Streptophyta; Magnoliopsida; Poales; Poaceae.